Misgurnus anguillicaudatus (oriental weatherfish) is the source of this 3270-nucleotide non-coding RNA. The record is from RefSeq and is a predicted model, not a curated record. Lineage: Eukaryota; Metazoa; Chordata; Actinopteri; Cypriniformes; Cobitidae.
GUCUUGCAAAAAAUCCCUAGCAAAAUAUUUAAAGAUAAGGGAGACAGAAUUCUAUGCUUAAAAUAGAAAGCAUGCACAACUCUCUUUUACCUAAUAUUUUAUGUUUUUGGUAUUAUUGUUGGUGUGACAGUUCACUCAAAGUAAAGGUGGGUCAAUUUGGACAUAUGCUACCCAUUUUAGGUCUAAAUACAAAUCAAUCUCGAUAUGAAUUCUGAAAACCAGCUAAAACCAGCCCAAGCUGGUUGACUGGUUUUAAGCUGGUCUCUCAGCCUGGUAUUAGCUGUUCAGGAUUGUUUAGCAGGAUGUGUUUUUUUUUUGGCCACUUUAUAGCUGGUUAGGCUAGAAAACCAGCUGACCCACCAGCUUAAACCAGCUUGGCUAAGCUGGUUGGCUGGUCUAAGCUGGUUCCAGAUGGUCCUCCCACCCUGACCAGCUAAGACCAGCUACAAAGUGAACAUACACACCUUAGAACAGGGGUCUCCAACCUUUUUAUGAGCAAGGGCUACCACAAUGGAUAAAACAAUCUGGAGGGCUACUUUUUGAUAUAGUCUACUUAAAACUUUUUUGUUUUACUUGUUUAUUUUAUUUUAUUUGACUUGUUUAUAUGUUUUAGUAUUGUUUAAAAUUUUAACAUACGUAAACCAAGCCAAGCUAAUAUAAAAAAAUAUGUAAUGAAUAAAUAUUACAGUUGAGACUAUUAAUAGAAUGUGCUUUGGCGGGCACCUCACAGACUCUGUGCGGGCUACCUGGUGCCCGCGGGCACCACGUUGGUGACCCCUGCCUUAGAGAGAGCAUAGGUCACACAGAGUACAAAAAUAUUUUACUAUUACGUAAAAUAAUGUAAGUUGUCUUAUAUAUUGAUCUUUGAUAUUAUUGUAGGUUUUGUUGUGGGUUCAGGGCAUCUUGAAGUACACUAUGAAUGACGUCAGAUAGAUCUAUUGCGAGUGACAACAUUUGAAUUAUCUGGCACGAGGAGUCACACGUCAUACUUCAACUGACACAACGGAGACGGUGGUAAAAGAGGGAAAAACUCCUUUAAAUUUCGAAUUUUUUUAUACUAAAUCCCAUUUAUUUUGUAGUUAAUUGUUGGAUAAGGUCGUAAUUUCGUCAAGUUUUCGUUACAGGGUAAGAUUUCUUUACCAUAUACAGUAUUUAUAUUGGUUCAAGUGUGCAGUUUGAUAAGGUUUGUAUUUCCUUUGUAUAGGAAAUUUGUUAGCCAUAUUUAAGUUAGUACAUUUUGGUAUCGUAUGUAAGCUUCGCUUUAGUUCAAUGUUAGAGUAAAUGUAUAAGGUUUUAUAUUAAUAUUCAUCCGCAGCGGGUAAGUGCGCGAGCUCAUACGGCCGUUACUCAAGCGGAAGGCUGCAGCCUCUGGAGGUCGCGUGUCUUAUUUCAGAAUAUUAACAAGUAUAAAGUUGACUAUUAUUCUUAGUUAAUCGUAAAUUGUUGUAAUAUGCUUAUGACUUGCGAAUGUAAUGCUCAGUUAACUUAAUAAACCAGGCUUGGUGACGUAUACAGCCUGCCUAUGCGACCUCCGGAGGAUGCAGCCUUCCGUUUGAGAAACGGCCUACAUGUGUACCGAGGGCGAGCGUGCACGAAAUUCUGUCUGAAUUGAUUCUUCAAUAAUGGCAAAGCAAACAUUUUCUGUCGUGAUGAUUAAACACAUUUUAAAGUUUAAAUUAAAACUCCUACCUUUCCAGGGGUUUCUGUUCCUGCAGUCUUCCAGCGACACUUCAGUCGUGUGUGUACUUGCUUGCCGCGUAUGACCAUACGGACACGAACAAUAUACCGCCACCUACUGUACUGUAGUAAAAUGACGUGUAUGAUUGAAUACGGUGGCACAGGCAGUAAAAAUAGCCCUGUAAGUCAUUGUAAAAAUUGGCUAAAUCACCAAAAUAAGUUUGUAGAUGUGGUUCAUUAAUUUUUCAUAACUAUGCAGCAUAAUGAAUCAGCCUGAAUUUAUUUAGCCUAUAAAAAUAUAUUUUUUAACUUUAUUUUUAAACCUUUAUAUGCUUUUAUAUGGUAUAUGGUUAAACCCUUAUAUGGUAGCAUACAGUUUAAUUGAAUAAAAAUCUUAAAUUGAAUCAAAUCUCUUGUAAUAAUAAAAAAGCUCUUAAUUAUCUGCGAGGAUUGGGGGUACAUCUGGGUAACAUUUUAACAUUUAAGCAGCUUCCUUUUUAUAUUAUUUUACAUAAUUUGAUGUGUAUAUAUAUUAACUUAUCUUUAUUUAGUUUUCUCAGCCUUUAAACAUCUGACUGAUAAAUGUGUAGUGUACUACAAAAAGGUAAGUUCAGCACCAGAUCCGCUUAUGUUAUACUGUAAUGACCUCUGUGUAUGACAUGUGCUAUACAAAUAAACUUGCCUUGCCUUGUAAGAUUGAUACUGGUUUGAGAAAAACUAAGAUUUAUACAACCAAAUGUUUCCAGUGCAACAUGAAAAAACAUUGGAAAACAAUUUUCAGCCUAAGGUUAGAUAAUGUAGCCAAUGGUCCUCUAUUAAUUUUGGUACAAUGGUACAUUUCCUUUGUGUACUGCAAGCUGAACUUACCGAUUUAUAUGGACUUUACUUACAGGUUUUCUGUGCUAUGUUGCUCCAUUUCACGGAGCAAAAUAAGUCUGAGGUAGCACCAUCCUUGUGGUUUGAGUUGAACAAUGGGGGUAUUGAGACCAAAAUGAACAAUGUGCCACUCUAGACAGCUGUGGACAAAAUAUGCAUUCAGAGUAUUUUCUCAAACAGAGAGAGAAUUCCAGGCCAAAAGGACUCAACAGAGACAACAUUCUGAGGAGCCAGGUAAAACUAAAAGUUCCAUGUCCUUCACAAUCACAACUGCAGCACACCAGUCAAUUUCUGCCAUUCAGACGAAUCAGAAAGAAAUCUUGGAUUGGAAAAUCAUUCUGAAAGUAGACUAAAUUCAGGACAACAUCACAGCAGUGGUCGGAAAAACAUCAGUCAAUGAGCAAGCCAAGCUAACUUUCAAAAGAUGAUUUGUUAUCUGUCUUCAGAGGGAAGGCAGCUUGGAGGAUGCUACAGCUACACAGGGAGAAUUUCAGCAGCUCAGUUUCAUACUUGCAACUAAUAAUGAAUAAUAGUUAGAAGACAGCGGAAAGAAUUGACAUCGCAGAGACACACACAAAGAGACACGAACACACACGCAGCUGAAGCGAGUUUGACUGACGCGCACGGGAGAUCAGGCACCGUGCACGCACACACAAACAUGGAGCACAGCAUAAUUACAACAGUUGGAUUAAAAUAAAAGUACUUUGUGGUAUACAA